Molecule: long non-coding RNA, 669 nt
Filed under: Salmo salar (Atlantic salmon)
Lineage: Eukaryota; Metazoa; Chordata; Actinopteri; Salmoniformes; Salmonidae
Description: lncRNA (ENSSSAG00000116881.1)
Source: RNAcentral
CUGUGAUGUGGGGCUGGAUACAGGCUGUUUCUGUGAUGUGGGGCCGGGGCCAGCUGGAUACAGGCUGUUUCUGUGAUGUGGGGCUGGAUACAGGCUGUGUUUCUGUGAUGUGGGGCUGGAUACAGGCUGUUUCUGUGAUGUGGGGCUGGAUACAGGCUGUGUUUCUGUGAUGUGGGGCUGGAUACAGGCUGUUUCUGUGAUGUGGGGCUGGAUACAGGCUGUUUCUGUGAUGUAGGGCUGGAUACAGGCUGUUUCUGUGAUGUGGGGCUGGAUACAGGCUGUUUCUGUGAUGUGGGGCUGGAUCCAGGCUGUUUCUGUGCUGUAGGGCUGAAUACAGGCUGUUUCUGUGAUGUGGGGCUGGAUACAGGCUGUUUCUGUGAUGUGGGGCUGGAUACAGGCUCUGUUUCUGUGAUGUGGGGCUGGAUACAGGCUGUUUCUGUGAUGUGGGGCUGAAUACAGGCUGUUUCUGUGAUGUGGGGCUGGAUACAGGCUGUUUCUGUGAUGUGGGGCUGGAUACAGGCUGUUUCUGUGAUGUGGGGCUGGAUACAGGCUGUUUCUGUGAUGUAGGGCUGAAUACAGGCUGUUUCUGUGAUGUGGGGCUGAAUACAGGCUGUUUCUGUAAUGUGGGGCUGGAUACAGGCUGUUUCUGUGAUGUGGGGCUGGAUACAG